Molecule: ribosomal RNA, 441 nt
Filed under: uncultured bacterium
Lineage: Bacteria
Description: bacterial SSU rRNA
Rfam family: Bacterial small subunit ribosomal RNA
Source: RNAcentral
UGAGGAAUAUUGGACAAUGGAGGCAACUCUGAUCCAGCCAUGCCGCGUGAAGGACUAAGGCCCUAUGGGUCGUAAACUUCUUUUGACGCAGAGCAAUAAGGAUUACGUGUAGUCUGAUGAGAGUAUGCGUCGAAUAAGCAUCGGCUAACUCCGUGCCAGCAGCCGCGGUAAUACGGAGGAUGCAAGCGUUAUCCGGAUUUAUUGGGUUUAAAGGGUGCGCAGGCGGCGGAUCAAGUCAGCGGCCAAACUUCGGGGCUCAACCCCGUUUUGCCGUUGAAACUGAUCGGCUGGAGUCUGUUCGAGGGACGCGGAAUGCGAGGUGUAGCGGUGAAAUGCAUAGAUAUCACGCAGAACUCCGAUUGCGAAGGCAGCGUCCCGGGGCGGCACUGACGCUGAGGCACGAAAGUGUGGGUAUCGAACAGGAUUAGAUACCCUGGUAGU